UGUGGAGUGCGUUCGAGCGAGAAUGUUGGCAUGAGUAGCGAAAGAGGGGUGAGAACCCCCUCCGCCGUAUGUCCAAGGGUUCCUGGGCGAGGCCAAUCCUCCCAGGGUGAGUCGGGAGCUAAGGCGAGGCCGAGAGGCGUAGUCGAUGCACAACUGGUUGAUAUUCCAGUACCACCAUGUUCGCGACCGUUCCAAUACUUUGUUGCUAAGGGGCUGUGUUGACUUCGGUUAACACGAACCGACCCACAUUGUUGCGGAAAGCUAUAGGGGGACGCAGGAAGGUAGAUGAACCCGGUGAAUGGUAGAACCGGGGUAAGCGUGUAGGAGGAGGACCAGGCAAAUCCGGGCCUCAUAUACUCUGAGACGUGAUACCGAGCCGCUUCAGGCGAAGUCAUUAAUCCUAUGCUGCCUAGAAAAGCCCAGUAGCGAGUUGACAUGGUGCCCGUACCCCAAACCAACACAGGUGGACAGGUAGAGCAUACCAAGGCGAGUGGGAUAACUAUGGUUAAGGAACUCGGCAAAUUUCCUCCGUAACUUCGGGAUAAGGAGGACCCCAGUAGCGUGACGAGACUUGCUCUCCGAGCGUGAAGGGGUGGCACAAAAUUGAGGGAAGCGACUGUUUACCAAAAACACAGCAGCGUGCUAAGCCGUAAGGCGCUGUAUACGCUGUGACUCCUGCCCGGUGCUGGAAGGUUACGGGGAUGGGUUAGUCCUUUGGGACGAAGCUCUGAACCUAAGCCCCAGUAAACGGCGGCCGUAACUAUAACGGUCCUAAGGUAGCGAAAUUCCUUGUCGGGUAAGUUCCGACCUGCACGAAUGGAGUAACGACUUCCCUACUGUCUCAACCAUAGACCCAGCGAAAUUGAAGUACGAGUAAAGAUGCUCGUUAGCUGCAGAAGGACGGAAAGACCCCGUGGACCUUUACUAUAACUUGAUGUUGUGUUUUGUCAUAUGUUGUGUAGGAUAGGUGGGAGACAAGGAAGCAUGGACGCUAGUCUGUGUGGAGUCAUCGUUGAAAUACCACCCUGCAUAUGGUGAGGCUCUAACCUAGACCCGUUAUCCGGGUCGGGGACAGCGUCAGGCGGGUAGUUUAACUGGGGCGGUUGCCUCCUAAAGAGUAACGGAGGCGCCCAAAGGUUCCCUCAGCCUGGUUGGCAAUCAGGCGUCGAGUGCAAUGGCAAAAGGGAGCUUGACUGCGAGACCUACAAGUCGAGCAGGAGCGAAAGCUGGGCAUAGUGAUCCGGCGGUUGCGUGUGGAAGCGCCGUCGCUCAACGGAUAAAAGGUACCCCGGGGAUAACAGGCUAAUCUUGCCCAAGCGUCCAU
This 1324-nucleotide ribosomal RNA is filed under the name metagenome. RNAcentral describes it as "bacterial LSU rRNA". It matches the Rfam family "Bacterial large subunit ribosomal RNA", at positions 1272 to 2503 of the family's 2925-position model. The record is from RNAcentral.